GAUGAAGAACGCAGCGAAAUGCGAUAAGUAAUGUGAAUUGCAGAAUUCAGUGAAUCAUCGAAUCUUUGAACGCACAUUGCGCCCCCUGGUAUUCCGGGGGGCAUGCCUGUUCGAGCGUCAUUUCACCACUCAAGCCUCGCUUGGUAUUGGGCAACGCGGUCCGCCGCGUGCCUCAAAUCGACCGGCUGGGUCUUCUGUCCCCUAAGCGUUGUGGAAACUAUUCGCUAAAGGGUGUUCGGGAGGCUACGCCGUAAAACAACCCCAUUUCUAAGGUUGACCUCGGAUCAGGUAGGGAUACCCGCUGAACUUAAGCAUAUCAAUAAGAGGAGGA
Molecule: unclassified non-coding RNA, 331 nt
Filed under: soil metagenome
Description: partial contains 5.8S ribosomal RNA, internal transcribed spacer 2, and large subunit ribosomal RNA
Rfam family: 5.8S ribosomal RNA (bases 1-120)
Source: RNAcentral